GGGUUGUGAGGUUAAGCGACUAAGCGUACACGGUGGAUGCCCUGGCAGUCAGAGGCGAUGAAGGACGUGCUAAUCUGCGAUAAGCGUCGGUAAGGUGAUAUGAACCGUUAUAACCGGCGAUUUCCGAAUGGGGAAACCCAGUGUGAUUCGUCACACUAUCAUUAACUGAAUCCAUAGGUUAAUGAGGCGAACCGGGGGAACUGAAACAUCUAAGUACCCCGAGGAAAAGAAAUCAACCGAGAUUCCCCCAGUAGCGGCGAGCGAACGGGGAGGAGCCCAGAGCCUGAAUCAGUGUGUGUGUUAGUGGAAGCGUCUGGAAAGGCGCGCGAUACAGGGUGACAGCCCCGUACACAAAAAUGCACAUGCUGUGAGCUCGAUGAGUAGGGCGGGACACGUGGUAUCCUGUCUGAAUAUGGGGGGACCAUCCUCCAAGGCUAAAUACUCCUGACUGACCGAUAGUGAACCAGUACCGUGAGGGAAAGGCGAAAAGAACCCCGGCGAGGGGAGUGAAAAAGAACCUGAAACCGUGUACGUACAAGCAGUGGGAGCACGCUUAGGCGUGUGACUGCGUACCUUUUGUAUAAUGGGUCAGCGACUUAUAUUCUGUAGCAAGGUUAACCGAAUAGGGGAGCCGAAGGGAAACCGAGUCUUAACUGGGCGUUAAGUUGCAGGGUAUAGACCCGAAACCCGGUGAUCUAGCCAUGGGCAGGUUGAAGGUUGGGUAACACUAACUGGAGGACCGAACCGACUAAUGUUGAAAAAUUAGCGGAUGACUUGUGGCUGGGGGUGAAAGGCCAAUCAAACCGGGAGAUAGCUGGUUCUCCCCGAAAGCUAUUUAGGUAGCGCCUCGUGAAUUCAUCUCCGGGGGUAGAGCACUGUUUCGGCAAGGGGGUCAUCCCGACUUACCAACCCGAUGCAAACUGCGAAUACCGGAGAAUGUUAUCACGGGAGACACACGGCGGGUGCUAACGUCCGUCGUGAAGAGGGAAACAACCCAGACCGCCAGCUAAGGUCCCAAAGUCAUGGUUAAGUGGGAAACGAUGUGGGAAGGCCCAGACAGCCAGGAUGUUGGCUUAGAAGCAGCCAUCAUUUAAAGAAAGCGUAAUAGCUCACUGGUCGAGUCGGCCUGCGCGGAAGAUGUAACGGGGCUAAACCAUGCACCGAAGCUGCGGCAGCGACGCUUAUGCGUUGUUGGGUAGGGGAGCGUUCUGUAAGCCUGUGAAGGUGUACUGUGAGGUAUGCUGGAGGUAUCAGAAGUGCGAAUGCUGACAUAAGUAACGAUAAAGCGGGUGAAAAGCCCGCUCGCCGGAAGACCAAGGGUUCCUGUCCAACGUUAAUCGGGGCAGGGUGAGUCGACCCCUAAGGCGAGGCCGAAAGGCGUAGUCGAUGGGAAACAGGUUAAUAUUCCUGUACUUGGUGUUACUGCGAAGGGGGGACGGAGAAGGCUAUGUUGGCCGGGCGACGGUUGUCCCGGUUUAAGCGUGUAGGCUGGUUUUCCAGGCAAAUCCGGAAAAUCAAGGCUGAGGCGUGAUGACGAGGCACUACGGUGCUGAAGCAACAAAUGCCCUGCUUCCAGGAAAAGCCUCUAAGCAUCAGGUAACAUCAAAUCGUACCCCAAACCGACACAGGUGGUCAGGUAGAGAAUACCAAGGCGCUUGAGAGAACUCGGGUGAAGGAACUAGGCAAAAUGGUGCCGUAACUUCGGGAGAAGGCACGCUGAUAUGUAGGUGAAGUGAUUUACUCAUGGAGCUGAAAUCAGUCGAAGAUACCAGCUGGCUGCAACUGUUUAUUAAAAACACAGCACUGUGCAAACACGAAAGUGGACGUAUACGGUGUGACGCCUGCCCGGUGCCGGAAGGUUAAUUGAUGGGGUCAGCGCAAGCGAAGCUCUUGAUCGAAGCCCCGGUAAACGGCGGCCGUAACUAUAACGGUCCUAAGGUAGCGAAAUUCCUUGUCGGGUAAGUUCCGACCUGCACGAAUGGCGUAAUGAUGGCCAGGCUGUCUCCACCCGAGACUCAGUGAAAUUGAACUCGCUGUGAAGAUGCAGUGUACCCGCGGCAAGACGGAAAGACCCCGUGAACCUUUACUAUAGCUUGACACUGAACAUUGAGCCUUGAUGUGUAGGAUAGGUGGGAGGCUUUGAAGUGUGGACGCCAGUCUGCAUGGAGCCGACCUUGAAAUACCACCCUUUAAUGUUUGAUGUUCUAACGUGGACCCGUAAUCCGGGUUGCGGACAGUGUCUGGUGGGUAGUUUGACUGGGGCGGUCUCCUCCUAAAGAGUAACGGAGGAGCACGAAGGUUGGCUAAUCCUGGUCGGACAUCAGGAGGUUAGUGCAAUGGCAUAAGCCAGCUUGACUGCGAGCGUGACGGCGCGAGCAGGUGCGAAAGCAGGUCAUAGUGAUCCGGUGGUUCUGAAUGGAAGGGCCAUCGCUCAACGGAUAAAAGGUACUCCGGGGAUAACAGGCUGAUACCGCCCAAGAGUUCAUAUCGACGGCGGUGUUUGGCACCUCGAUGUCGGCUCAUCACAUCCUGGGGCUGAAGUAGGUCCCAAGGGUAUGGCUGUUCGCCAUUUAAAGUGGUACGCGAGCUGGGUUUAGAACGUCGUGAGACAGUUCGGUCCCUAUCUGCCGUGGGCGCUGGAGAACUGAGGGGGGCUGCUCCUAGUACGAGAGGACCGGAGUGGACGCAUCACUGGUGUUCGGGUUGUCAUGCCAAUGGCACUGCCCGGUAGCUAAAUGCGGAAGAGAUAAGUGCUGAAAGCAUCUAAGCACGAAACUUGCCCCGAGAUGAGUUCUCCCUGACUCCUUGAGAGUCCUGAAGGAACGUUGAAGACGACGACGUUGAUAGGCCGGGUGUGUAAGCGCAGCGAUGCGUUGAGCUAACCGGUACUAAUGAACCGUGAGGCUUAACCUUACAACGCCGAAGGUGUUU
RNAcentral lists this ribosomal RNA (2931 nucleotides) under Escherichia coli. RNAcentral's name for it is "23S ribosomal RNA". It matches the Rfam family "Bacterial large subunit ribosomal RNA". The record is from RNAcentral. Lineage: Bacteria; Pseudomonadati; Pseudomonadota; Gammaproteobacteria; Enterobacterales; Enterobacteriaceae.